RNAcentral lists this ribosomal RNA (425 nucleotides) under uncultured bacterium. RNAcentral describes it as "partial 16S ribosomal RNA". It matches the Rfam family "Bacterial small subunit ribosomal RNA", at positions 354 to 796 of the family's 1533-position model. The record is from RNAcentral.
GUGGGGAAUCUUGCGCAAUGGGCGAAAGCCUGACGCAGCCAUGCCGCGUGAAUGAUGAAGGUCUUAGGAUUGUAAAAUUCUUUCACCGGGGACGAUAAUGACGGUACCCGGAGAAGAAGCUCCGGCUAACUUCGUGCCAGCAGCCGCGGUAAUACGAAGGGGGCUAGCGUUGCUCGGAAUUACUGGGCGUAAAGGGCGCGUAGGCGGACAGCUUAGUCAGAGGUGAAAGCCCAGGGUUCAACCUUGGAAUUGCCUUUGAUACUGGCUGUCUUGAGUGUGGGAGAGGUGAGUGGAACUCCGAGUGUAGAGGUGAAAUUCGUAGAUAUUCGGAAGAACACCAGUGGCGAAGGCGACUCACUGGCCCAAUACUGACGCUGGGGCGCGAAAGCGUGGGGAGCAAACAGGAUUAGAAACCCCGGUAGUCC